CCGUUGAUAUUAAAAUUUCCACCAGAGAGACACUGGGGUACACUUCAUGGCUGAAAAAUGACUGGGUUGUGGAUUUGCGUUACAAUUAUUCUCAUUCAUCAAGUGUUUCCAUGUCAAGCAGUUGCGCCUGUCCUGUCUGGUCUCCCAACCUCCAUCAGCGUGGGAGAGUUGGAGACGGCCAACAGACUUAUAUACACAAUCACAGUUACCGAUCCCGACAAUGACGCCUAUGUUUGUGAUGUAAGCAGUACCGUUCCGGCCAAUGGACCAUUUGUCGGCAUCAAAGACACAGACACGAACAAGUAUGGCAUCUACACGGAUACACCGACAUUCAGCUAUGCCACUACCACCGUGCAUACCGUAAAUAUUGAGUGUACAGACACUGGAGGGUUGAUAGGGACGGGAGUUCUCAGUGUAGACGUCAUAGAGGGAGACGCGCUCACCUUUAAUAAUCUACCAGCUUCAACUACCCAUGACGCCUCUACAACGCUAAAUGGUGCCGGAAUCUACACUGUCACGACAACGGAUGCCAAAGGUCACACAACAAAGACGUACACCAUGACAUCUACCCCUUCUACAACAAGUUUUGUAAUCGACGCUGGUACUGGCGCAGUGACGGCCGACAGAGACCUGAAGUAUGAGAUCUACACCAGUGUUAAGCUGUACAUCACUGUGUCUGACGGUAGUAUCGCGGCCGUGGAGGUCCUCACCGUAGUUCUCACCAACGUCAACAAUGUCCCGACGUUCACCAACCUGCCAGCGUCUAUAGACGUGGUGGAGUCGGCAGCUGCCGGAACCGUCCUUAUAACGCUGACUCCCAACGACGCCGACGCGGGCGCGUCUCUCACCUAUACAAUGUCUGUGGAUCCGGUAGCGUCGGCCAACCUAUUCGCCUACAAUACAAACACCCAGCAAGUGACCUUGGCUACCGGACAAAACUUCAACUACGAGUCUGUUAUCUACUUCAACGUGACGUUUACAGUCUUUGAUCAGUUAGCCACGGGAGGACCGUUUGUAUUGGACGUUCACAUCAAGGACGACGACGAGCCCUGUUACUUUGACAAAAGCUACUACUCACUCAGCACGAGUGAGGGAGCAUCCGGCAGCAUCAGUCUGAAUCCGAACUUUAUCAUCAGCGACUAUGACGGUAUAUCCUCCUACUCAUUGUCCUUCACCACAGCUAACAACAGCGAAAGAUUCACCAUCGAUGCCUCGACAGGUGUGAUAGGGUUCGCCGUGAACUAUGACAUAGACAACAGUGCCAUGCCGUCUACCGUCAUUCUAACUGUCGAGUGUAAGGACGCCACCAGCCAGACAGGGACAACCAAUGUACAGAUCAGCAUCGCGGACGUGAACGACAACGCGCCAACAUUUGGUAGUGCUAGCUACAUCCUAACUGUGGAUCAGUAUUCAAGCGCAGGGACGCUGAUAGGUUCGUUAGCGCCUACAGACGCCGACUCGGGUAGUAAUGCUGACUACACGUGCAGUGCAACAACCACUUCCGCAACAGGAUCUACAUACUAUAACAUCGGAUCCGACUGUGGCGUAUACCUGAUCGCCACCCCGUACGGAAAUAUAGACUACGGGACAAUGGUUCGAUUCUCAGUUACGGCGACAGACAAGGGAUCAACGCCUCUGAGUGGAACGACGUUCGUCGACAUUAUCUUCAAGGAAGCAACGACAACGACGACGACAACGACGGCAGCGACAACAACUGCCUCCAACUUCUUUGACGACCCAGGGAGUCUGGCGGCGUUUGUUGUCGCGGUUGUGCUAGGUGCGAUUAUCCUUGCAUUAUUGCUGUACAUGUGUCUGCGCUGGUGGGUUACAGGCGCGUGCUGUGGGCCGGACCCUUGUGACUUCUGUUAUUGGUGUCGGGGUGAUGGACGAGAUCAAUGCUGUCAACGUAAACAACGUCGACACAGGAAAAGAGUGGUUACCCCAGAAACGCCAGAGAGGCCCAAGAGAAAGAGCAAGGGGGAGUUUGAGUACUGGAAGGAAGAUGAUGGUGGGCCGAUAAGAAAAUCGAAAAUUAUCCGACACUAUUAUGGUUAAAGGGAGACAGCGACUACGGUUCACUCAGCAGGGCUGACGUUAAGCAGAAUAGAAGUUCUCGUAUGACCGGACAUCGUGACUAC
Molecule: unclassified non-coding RNA, 2138 nt
Filed under: Mizuhopecten yessoensis (Yesso scallop)
Lineage: Eukaryota; Metazoa; Mollusca; Bivalvia; Pectinida; Pectinidae
Description: cadherin-23-like, transcript variant X1
Source: RNAcentral